RNAcentral lists this long non-coding RNA (862 nucleotides) under Olea europaea (common olive). RNAcentral's name for it is "long non-coding RNA (OEUR_LNC002852)". The record is from RNAcentral. Lineage: Eukaryota; Viridiplantae; Streptophyta; Magnoliopsida; Lamiales; Oleaceae.
AAUUUUUCAUUUAGCGACAAUAAGAGUUUUUCAAACUCAUAAAACUUUUAAUUCCCGAUUUUCUUAGGAGAUUUUUGUUAACUAAAUUCCUAUUCAUGUCGAGAACAUGUAGUAAAUUUGUUAAGGUAACGAUUUUUCAAGGAGUAAAGAUAAUAUCAACAUUUCCUUUUCCAACCACUUUGGAGUGGCCUUCAUUACCCAUUUGACUUGUUCUCCAUUUGAUUCAUGAUAAGUCUUAAAGAGUGACUUAUCAUAUGAUACACGUAUAGUUAAACAUGUAUCAUACCACCAACUGUAAACUUUUCCUUGAUAGCAUUUAUUCUGCUCACGGUAGCCACAAUGCUCGCUUCAUCAAUGUAGUUACUUUGCCCUCUUUCUUGUUUUGUUUUCGGUGUCAACAAUCCUAGCCCUCGUUUCUUCCUCAAUUCGGAGAUGUUUUUGAACUUGUUUUUAAAGAGUAAACUUCAGAACCAUGAAGAAUCUUUUUUCAAUAUCCUUUCCAAGUCCUUGGAAGUUUAGCAAUAAUUGCUCCCACUUGGAAAUGUUUCAGAAGUUCAAUCUUAACUGCCUUUAAUUUGUUGACGAGUACUUGUAAUUCAUGCACUUAGAGAAGAAAAUGAAUGUUUUCAAGAAAUUUAAAAUCGAAAUACCACGUCAAGAAUUUAUUUUUAUCUUCUUCUUCGGCUUUAUGUUUGUUCUUUGAUGCAUCCCAAAUAUGUUUUGCCAAUGAGGUGUUGGUGUAGAGAUCAUACAACCAAUUGGAUAGUCCGUUGAGUUAUGUGACUGCGACAAAUUAAUUCAUCUUCUUCACGCUUUUGCCUCUUGGCUCUUACGACAUUGAUAUGUCCAUUUGUUGGUUCUG